This 337-nucleotide unclassified non-coding RNA is filed under the name Hevea brasiliensis (rubber tree). The record is from RNAcentral. Lineage: Eukaryota; Viridiplantae; Streptophyta; Magnoliopsida; Malpighiales; Euphorbiaceae.
GGAAUUUGUACGAGAUUAUACGAUUCCUCAAUGGAACAGUGAUCUGGAUGGACGCUUGAUUUUGAGCGAGGUCGAGCGGACGCACGAGAUUUAGCCAUCUCGCACGGCUCUUUUGUACAAAAUCGUACUAGGGACGCAUGACAGCCUUUGCCUUCCGUCUACUUCUGUUACACGCCAUGUAUUUCCCUUGAUUUGUGAAGCCGGGAACGUUAGAGGCGCGGCUGCUCGUCCUCUGUUAGUUGCAGGCGUUGGAACGAAAGAGAAAGGAAAGGGGGCUGGGUCGGGUUUUGAAUUAUGGGUUGGGAACGAAUUAAGUAUUUUGGGAGUUGGAGGAGUG